AUACGUAGGGUGCAAGCGUUAAUCGGAAUUACUGGGCGUAAAGCGUGCGCAGGCGGUUUUGUAAGCCAGAUGGGACAUCCCCGGGCUUAACCUGGGAAAUGCGUUUGUGACUGUAGGACUCGAGUGUGGCAGAGGGGGGUGGAAUUCCACGUGUAGCAGUGAAAUGCGUAGAGAUGUGGAGGAACACCGAUGGCGAAGGCAGCCCCCUGGGUCAACACUGACGCGCAUGCACGAAAGCGUGGGGAGCAAACAGGAUUAGAUACCCUGGUAUUCCACGCCCUAAAGGAUGUCAACUGGUUGUUUGGUGUUCAGUGAAUCAGUAACGAAGCUAACGCGUGAAGUUAACCGCCUGGGGAGUACGGCCGCAAGGUUGAAACUCAAAUGAAUUUACGGG
Molecule: ribosomal RNA, 394 nt
Filed under: uncultured bacterium
Lineage: Bacteria
Description: partial 16S ribosomal RNA
Rfam family: Bacterial small subunit ribosomal RNA
Source: RNAcentral